This 27-nucleotide non-coding RNA is filed under the name Mus musculus (house mouse). Lineage: Eukaryota; Metazoa; Chordata; Mammalia; Rodentia; Muridae. The record is from RNAcentral.
UUUACUGGCAUCUGUUGAACCGUCAGC